CGAGGAGAAGGGACGGAGGGAGGAAGGAAGGGGCGGGACCGCCGAGCCAAGCGCCUCAGUCGCAGUUCCCGCCUUGACUACGUUGGCCGCCCAGCGACUUCGCAGGUUGCCGAAGCCCUACAGCUAAUCGAGCGGGAGGCUCCUCGGGGAAUGGGGAGCCGCGCUGGGCCAGGCGGCCAAGGCGGCUGCUGCGGGCUGUGCGGCCUCAGGGUCGCCGUCGCCGUCUUCUUGCUGGCGCUUCUGCCCUGCCGGGUAUUUUCAGACUCGUGUAUCUGGUAUGGCCAGUGUGAAGUUGCUUCUGGAGAUAAAAGGUACAAUUGUGAAUAUAACGGCCCACCACUGCCACUACCGAAAGAUGGCUAUGAUUUGGUACAGGAACUAUGCCCAGGUUUUUUCUAUGAGAAUGUUAGCCUUUGUUGUGAUGUACAACAACUUCAGACUUUGAAAAACAACUUGGAGCUCCCGCUGCAGUUUCUUUCCAGGUGCCCAUCAUGUUUUUAUAAUUUAGUAAACCUGUUCUGCGAACUAACCUGCAGUCCUCAUCAGUCUGAAUUUCUCAAUGUAACAAAUACAACUUCAUAUAUUGAUCCAGUUACAAAAGAGAAGAAAACCAACGUUGUUGAACUGGAGUAUUACAUUGGAGAAAAAUUUGCUAAUGCUAUGUAUAAUGCAUGUAAAGAUGUGGAAGCACCAUCAAGCAAUGUUAAAGCGCUGGGACUAUUGUGUGGAAAAGAUGUUAGGGAAUGCAAUGCAACCAACUGGAUUCAGUACAUGUUCAGCAAGGAUAAUGGUCAGACUCCUUUCAACAUGAUUCCAAUAUUUUCAGAUGUUUCUAUCCAUGGGAUGACUCCUAUGAACAAUGCCACCAAAGGCUGUAAUGAGUCCAUGGAUGAUGUCACUGGGCCUUGCAGUUGUCAGGAUUGCUCUAUUGUCUGUGGUCCCAAACCACAACCCCCUCCACCUCCUGUACCUUGGCUUUUGCUUGGUUUGGAUGCCAUGUAUGUCAUCAUGUGGAUCUCCUACACAGGAUUUUUGCUUGUGUUUUUUGCAGCAGUUUUUGGAGUUUGGUGUUACAGGAAGAGACACUUUGUUUCUGAAUACACACCUAUUGACAGCAACAUUGCCUAUUCUGUUAACUUACGCCAGAAUACUGGAGAAUCUACCUGGUGUGAAAGGCUGGGUGAAAGAUUUGAGAAUGUGUUAAGAGUCACAUUCACAUCAUGGGGGGCUUUCUGUGUUCGAAACCCAAGACCUGUUGUGCUCUUUUCCCUGGCUUUUAUUGCCAUGUGCUCCUCAGGCCUGAUGUUUGUCAAAGUAACAACAAAUCCUAUAGACCUCUGGUCAUCCCCAAACAGUGAAGCUCGCAAAGAGAAGGAAUAUUUUGAUACUCACUUUGGGCCUUUCUUCCGUACUGAACAACUUAUUAUCCAAGCUCCAAAUGCCAAGCCAGAAAUCUAUUCUCCAUAUCCAUCAGGAGCAGAUAUUCCUUUCGGGCCUCCACUAACUAAAGAUAUCUUGCAUCAGGUGCUAGACUUGCAGGAUGCUAUUGAAAACAUAACUGCUUCUUAUAAAAAUGACACCGUAAUGCUGAAGGACAUCUGCCUGGCUCCUCUUGCUCCGUACAACAACAACUGUACUAUUUUAAGUGUACUCAAUUAUUUCCAGAACAGUCAUUCUGUCCUAGAUCACAGUAUUGGUGAUGAAUUCUUUGUCUACGCUGACUACCACUCUCACCUCUUGUACUGUGUCCGGGCUCCAGCCUCUUUGAAUGACACAACCUUGCUUCACGAUCCAUGUUUGGGAACAUUUGGUGGCCCUGUGUUUCCUUGGUUGGUGAUGGGAGGAUAUGAUGGUGAAAAUUACAAUAAUGCUACAGCCCUUGUGAUCACAUUUCCUGUCAAGAAUUACUACAAUGACACAGAAAAGCUAAUGAAAGCACUGGCCUGGGAAAAGGAGUUCAUCUCUUUUGUGAAAAACUAUAACAACUCAAAUUUAACAAUUUCUUUCUCUGCUGAACGUAGCAUUGAAGAUGAAAUAGACCGUGAAAGCUACGGUGAUGUCAGUACUGUUGUAAUUAGCUACGCAGUAAUGUUUGUGUAUAUCUCUAUAGCUCUGGGACACAUCAAGAGUGCUGCUAGAUUCUUGGUGGAUUCAAAAAUUUCCUUGGGCGUCGCAGGCAUUCUGAUUGUACUGAGUUCAGUUGCAUGUUCUCUGGGCAUCUUCAGCUAUUUUGGAGUUCCCUUAACAUUGAUUGUUAUUGAAGUCAUUCCAUUUUUAGUGCUGGCAGUUGGAGUGGACAACAUUUUCAUUAUUGUCCAGACAUUUCAGAGAGAUGAACGCCUUCAAGGUGAAACUCUAGAUAAGCAGAUAGGCCGAAUCCUUGGGGAUGUCGCUCCUAGUAUGUUCCUGUCAUCAUUUUCAGAGACAGUGGCCUUUUUAUUGGGAUCUUUGUCUACUAUGCCUGCUGUUCGUACUUUCUCCCUAUUUGCUGCAGUGGCCGUAUUUAUUGACUUUCUCCUUCAAAUUACUUGCUUUGUAAGCCUCUUGGGCUUGGAUAUUAAGCGUCAAGAGAAAAAUCGAUACGAUAUUCUGUGUUGUAUCAAAGGUGGUGAAGAGAUCAAUAGUGUUCAGCACUCUGAAAGUGUAUUGUUUUUAUUCUUCAAAAAUAUAUAUUCUCCAUUGCUUCUUAAGGAUUGGAUGAGACCAAUUGUGAUAUCCAUAUUUGUGGGUGUGCUGUCAUUCAGCAUAGCAGUUGCCAACAAAGUUGAGAUUGGCCUGGACCAGAGCCUGUCGAUGCCAGAUGACUCAUACAUGUUGGAUUACUUCGGCUCUCUCAGCAAAUACCUGCAUGCAGGUCCUCCAGUAUACUUUGUGCUAAAAGAAGGACAUGACUAUACUACUUUGGAUGGGCAAAAUAUGGUGUGUGGUGGAACAGGAUGUGACAACAACUCCCUAGUUCAAGAAAUAUUUGAUGCAGCAGAGAUUAACAGUUACACAAAAAUUGGUUAUGCUCCUUCUUCAUGGAUUGAUGACUACUUUGAUUGGGUCAAACCACAGUCAUCUUGUUGCAGACUCUACAACACCACUGGGCAGUUCUGCAAUGCUUCAGUUGUGGAUCCAUCUUGUGUGCGUUGCCGGCCACUGACUCCAGAAGGGAAGAAGAGACCUCAGGGUGAAGACUUCAUGAAAUUCCUGCCAAUGUUCCUCUCUGAUAACCCUAAUCCAAAAUGCGGCAAAGGAGGACACGCAGCAUAUAGCUCUGCAGUUAACUUUAUAAACAACUCUGAAGUUGGAGCUACCUACUUCAUGACUUACCAUACAGUGUUGAAAACCUCUGCAGACUUCAUUGAUGCAAUGAAGAAAGCACGUGUGAUAGCAUACAACAUUACUAAAUCCAUGAGCACUGAAGAAAAGAACUAUCAUGUAUUCCCCUACAGCGUGUUCUAUGUUUUCUACGAACAAUAUCUCACUAUUGUGAAAGACACCGUCUUUAACCUCAGUAUUUCCCUUGGAUCAAUAUUCUUAGUAACAAUGGUGCUGCUUGGUUUUGAAGUGUGGGCUGCCAUUGUUGUUACCCUUACCAUUGCUAUGAUCCUGGUCAACAUGUUUGGAGUCAUGUGGCUCUGGGGCAUCAGCCUGAAUGCAGUUUCAUUGGUUAAUCUUGUCAUGAGUUGUGGUAUCUCUGUUGAAUUCUGUAGCCACGUGACAAGAGCAUUCACUGUGAGUACAAAAGCAACCAGAGCAGAGCGCGCUGAAGAAGCACUAUCCCACAUGGGCAGCUCUGUUUUCAGUGGCAUUACUCUCACAAAAUUUGGAGGAAUAGUAGUGCUUGCCUUUUCCAAAUCCCAGAUUUUCCAGAUCUUCUACUUCAGGAUGUAUCUAGCCAUGGUACUACUUGGAGCAACCCAUGGUCUAAUAUUUCUUCCCGUCCUACUUAGUUAUAUAGGACCUUCAGUAAAUAAAGCUAAAGCACGUGCAGCACAAGAGAGAAACAAAGGUACAGAGAGAGAGAGACUCUUAUUCUUCUAGCCAUUUUAAACAAAGUGGUCAGUGGACUCAUUGAAUUCUACCUGAAGCCCUCUUCACCAUAAGUUUCAGCAAGUUUCUAUGACUACUGUCGCACAACUACAAGCCACUAUUACUGGACAGAUUAGAGAUCUACCCAAGUAGAUGACCAGUAGUUCUGAACACCUUGGACUCAGGAAGUACUGCAUAUUUCAGUUACAGUGUUACUAAAAUUGGAAGGAUCAUAAAUUAUUAUUAUUUAAUACAUUAUAGUUUUUAUUGUUUCACACAAUGAAUUUGCUUUCCUGAUGAAAAUCUAAAGUGACAUGUAUGAGAGUAGAUUGCUGACCCACUGACACUACUUUUUAAAUGCAAGGCAAUGCAAUUUGUGGCUCUAUUUUUAGGAGAGACAAAUGAGCCAUUAGUGGAAUAAUAAUAUUUUAAUAAUUUGCCAAAGGGUCUGUGUGUAUAUAUACUUUAUUAUAAAAUAGGAAUUUUUGUAGGUCAAAAGUAUCAGUACAUAAAAUGCAAUAAAUUAAGUUUAUACAUUUUGUAUAGCUUUUCUACUUCAGAAAGCAGUAGGCUUCAUUAAUGCUUGGUCUCCAAAAUGCUGUUUAAAAAACACAACAUGCUCUUCACAGUGCUCUCCUGUAAAACAAAAAAGACUGUGGAAUUAAAUACUUUCCCAGUAUGCGAUUUUAUUUGAAUGCAGUUCCUGAGGAUUUCUGGACUGGUCACACUACCUGUCAGACAGGACCACUGGUCCAGCUCAAGAACACAUAGUACAUAAAAAAAUGCACUGAAACUUAGUACUAAGACUUGAUAAACUGGAAGUAGUUUAAGUAAUAUGUAUACUGCUGUUGUGAGCUAAGUUACUACUAUGACAAAACUGGAUUCUCAGCACAAUCAAAAUAACAUGCCACUUCAGCCAGAACUAGAACAGUUUCCCUACCCUCCUUUUGUCCAAACUUCAGCACAAUUGUCCAUGAGACUUUCUUGGCAAUAUCAGUCACAAUAUGAAAUUACGUUCAGACUAGCAGAUUCCCAUAAGUAUUGCUGCAAACACUGGGACAUGCCUAAUCAAAUUGAGGGGAAGGAGGCAUUUCUAUGUUCUUUAUCACUGUUAUGCUUAAACCCUGCUACUAAGAAAUCCGCACCAUGGUAUACAUGAAAGAAGGCCUUUCAUGAUUUGAGUGUGGAGGACUUUCAAGGUAAAAAUGGCGAUAUAUGCAUGCAUCUAGGCACCUAUACUCUUCCCCGGCCAAGGGAAGUAAUAUUCAGAGUACCUCCAUUGAAAUAAACAGGUUAGCCAUGAUUAAAUCAAAUGGGGUUGAUGUUGAGUAAAAUGUAAUCAGAUACCAAACAGCUACAGCAAAAUAAGUCCUCCUUCCACUUGCACUCUUAUGGAGCGGUGGGUGUCACUUUUGUCACUCAGACUAAAAGUGAAUUCCUAAAACCCAAAACAUAUAGCAGCAGACUCCCCACAACCACUACCCAUGGUCUUUACUACAGUUGUCAUUUUCCACAUUUUACCAGAACUGUCAAAUCAGUAUUCAAAAUGUAGACACAGUGCCUUUAAUUGCAGAAAUGAUAUUUUAAGAGCAAAACAGUACAAUUUGUGAUGGCUUAUCUUUAUUUGAACUCUGUAAAUCAGUGCUUUAAACUUCUUUAAAAGCUAGUGUGUUCUAAAAAUGUAUUGUCUAGACAGUUUACGGAGGGUAGGGGCAACUUACCGCAGGUUGUGUAUUAAUACCUCAACUGUUCAGUUAAUAAACUUGUACGGAUAUUCACUAAAAUUUGGCCAAGCUCCAUUUAAAUGGCUUAGCCCAGUCCCUAAAUUCACUCUCUAUAAACCACAGGUUUUGUUUUUUUUUAAAUUCUCUUAAGCGGGCUUACUGAAAAUAGUGACCAGUAAAGCAGAUCUGGAACCAACGUUGGUGGUUGAAAGGGAAUGAGACAUUUUCUCAUGAGCCUGCCCUGUUGAUAGUUCCCUAGCAUUUGUGGCCUUUGGAGCAGGAGGACUGGACAAGCAAACGGAGGUUCAAGUGCCUGGACAGAAGGAGCUGUAGCUGAAAGCAACUUGAAACUCAAUAUUACCUUUAAGACUAAUCCAGCCUACCUAACACUAUUGGGUGAGCAGCGCUCUCCAUAUGAAGAAGGGUAAUGCAGUGUAUAAGAGGUGGUGGUAAACGACUGGACUUUCUCCAACUGUAUGGGUGCAUGUAUCUUCACACAUGAACUAGAAACCUUACACUGAAAGAUGCCAACACAAGGGCUCAAAAUUAGCACACUUACAAAGGCUCAUUUCCAAUCCUGAAUAUUUGACGAAGCAAACACUCCAGCGUUUCAGAAGGGAAAAAAUGUGUACAAUUGUAGCUUUGAUCCCAAUACAUCUGUUCACUACUAGCCCAAACUCUUCACAAUGCUAUUCAUCAUAUUUAUACUUGGUUGAUAUCUAUAAGUUGCUCUGUCACCUCAAAUCGCCUCUAAAACUUCAUAUAUAAUUACGUGCAAACUAAUGCAACAGUUCUGUAAAAGAAUGUGGAAUGUCUGUAUAAGGGGAAUGAGCAUAUUUUAAUUUUACUUAAUAAACAGCUUUAAUAUUUCAAAAAUUGGCAACUAGUGUGCAGUCUAAAAAUAGAUAACAGAUAACCGGGAUAGAGAAUCAUAAUCUUAUAUAACGAGACAUUUUAAGUUUUUACCUGAACAGCUAUCUGAAAUUGGUUGAGUGAGCGAAUAUACUCCAUUAAGACAGCUAUAGUGAACUUGUGAGGUGCUUCCUAAACAGGAAAAGAAGAAUUUACUAAAGUAGAUGCUUCAACUCCAAUAAAGAAUCUGUUUAAAUCA
Zootoca vivipara (common lizard) is the source of this 6852-nucleotide non-coding RNA. The record is from RefSeq and is a predicted model, not a curated record. Lineage: Eukaryota; Metazoa; Chordata; Lepidosauria; Squamata; Lacertidae.